UACGUAGGGUGCAGGCGUUAAUCGGAAUUACUGGGCGUAAAGCGUGCGCAGGCGGUCUUUUAAGUCAGAUGUGAAAUCCCCGGGCUUAACCUGGGAACUGCGUUUGAAACUGAAAGGCUAGAGUGUGGCAGAGGGGGGUGGAAUUCCACGUGUAGCAGUGAAAUGCGUAGAUAUCUGGAGGAACACCGGUGGCGAAGGCGGCAUCCUGGACCAACACUGACGCUGAGGAGCGAAAGCCAGGGGAGCAAACGGG
Molecule: ribosomal RNA, 253 nt
Filed under: uncultured bacterium
Lineage: Bacteria
Description: partial 16S ribosomal RNA
Rfam family: Bacterial small subunit ribosomal RNA
Source: RNAcentral